RNAcentral lists this transfer RNA (77 nucleotides) under Gammaproteobacteria bacterium. Its description in RNAcentral is "tRNA-Arg". It matches the Rfam family "tRNA". From Rfam's summary of the family: Transfer RNA (tRNA) molecules are approximately 80 nucleotides in length. The record is from RNAcentral. Lineage: Bacteria; Pseudomonadati; Pseudomonadota; Gammaproteobacteria.
GCGCUCGUAGCUCAGCUGGAUAGAGUACCUGGCUUCGAACCAGGUGGUCGGGAGUUCGAAUCUCUCCGGGCGCGCCA